UGGGUUAAAGCCAGUUGGUUAGGGUAUUUAGCUGUUAACUAAAUUUUUGUGGGUUCGAGUCCCAUUGACCUAG
RNAcentral lists this transfer RNA (73 nucleotides) under Papio anubis (olive baboon). RNAcentral's name for it is "tRNA-Asn". It matches the Rfam family "tRNA". Rfam says of the family: Transfer RNA (tRNA) molecules are approximately 80 nucleotides in length. Their secondary structure includes four short double-helical elements and three loops (D, anti-codon, and T loops). Further hydrogen bonds mediate the characteristic L-shaped molecular structure. tRNAs have two regions of fundamental functional importance: the anti-codon, which is responsible for specific mRNA codon recognition, and the 3' end, to which the tRNAs corresponding amino acid is attached (by aminoacyl-tRNA synthetases). tRNAs cope with the degeneracy of the genetic code in two manners: having more than one tRNA (with a specific anti-codon) for a particular amino acid; and 'wobble' base-pairing, i.e. permitting non-standard base-pairing at the 3rd anti-codon position. The record is from RNAcentral. Lineage: Eukaryota; Metazoa; Chordata; Mammalia; Primates; Cercopithecidae.